Molecule: long non-coding RNA, 1652 nt
Organism: Gasterosteus aculeatus aculeatus (three-spined stickleback)
Lineage: Eukaryota; Metazoa; Chordata; Actinopteri; Perciformes; Gasterosteidae
Source: Ensembl
CGUCUCCAUCUCCAUCGCACUCUUAAAUUACAUCCUAGAGCAGUUUUUAAAAAAAAAUGGUGAUGUGCAUUAAUAAAUUACCACUUUAAUGCAUUCGUGCUGGCAAGAGUGACAAACCUGCACAUCGAGACUUGUUGAGCCUAAACUGCAGGAUAUCUUUGGACACCAACAAGUAGAAAACAAGCAGCACCUAAAGGGGCUCAGCUUAAAAGAAAGAAAAUCUACUGCUGAUUUUAACCUUAAAAAGGGGUCGAGGACAUGUCACCAGAAAAAACACACUGGACAACAUUUUAUUAAGUAAAGGCUGCCAGUGUGCGCCUCUGAGUUAUGGCUCUUUGACAGCUAAAUGAGCAACAAUUGCCUUUGCCGGGCUCCAGACCGGCUGGGCUACCUAAUAACAGCAGAAAGUACGCGUACACCACUAAUUCCCUACGCACACUUUGAUUUUAUUCCGCUAUAACGAACUUAUUUCCUCACUCUACAAAUGCUCCUCAGCCAUCAGCUUUCCCAUGAUGGAGGGGAGACAUCUCCUGACUCUCUCCCUAAGGGGCCGCAGCAUACUGACUCCUCUCCCUCAAGAAAAACACGUGGUGAUUCCAACAGCGGUUUACUGAAGGCGAUAACUCAGUCCCUGCGAGUGCCGGCACGUUCUUUAGAAUGAAGGUUAUAAGGUCUGCAGAGAUUUCCUUUCUCUUGCAGGCCUGUCAUCGGGUAAAAACACACGACGCGUCGAGCUGGAAAUCCCGUCAACACCGACACUCACCAAGCAGAUCGGCCUCGGGGCUCAGACAGUCCCUGCUCCUCCCCAGCUUACCUCUGCGGAGAGCCAGGCCCCUUCUCUUCGCUGGGUAACCUGCGCUGAGAGAGAGGCAGCGACUCCAUCCCGGGAUGGGUCACGCCGUUGGGCGGCGUGGGCGUUCCCGGAAGCUCCGGAGGUCUUCGGUUAAAAGGGUGCCCCCCCCCCCCCUCCGCCUCUGUGUCCACGUCAAUGCAGACAAAGCACCACGUUUUCCUGCACAUAUGGGAGGUCCCGAGCACGUUGGCUUGGUGCCCGAUGCGUGGGGAGGGGUCAGACUGAUAAGCAGGAAGAGGAGGCCGGGGGGGGGGGCAGACACACAGGAAGAGAGAAUAGAGGGAAGUCGGAGACAUGACGUGUGCACAGACAGAGGAGCUUCAGAGAGUUAUAACUGCAGACGGCCUGUUAGCUAGAAGCUCUGCAGGGUUUUCCGUGCGUUGAUUCAGGAAGCAAAUAGGAAUACAGGCCGAUCCACACAAAGCAGCCAAAGUGGUUUGUACCCCAACAGCUGCGUCAGAUGAACUCGACUACCCCCUCGCUGACCCCACCCAUUACCAUCCAUUACCCCUUUAGUCUGUCGCGACUGGCUUUCACUCAUGUUUAUCUGCUUUUAUUAACCAUUCCUCCAUCGCCCAUUCAAACUGUGCUUCCCAUCACGUAAAGUUAUUUAUAAUUAGCUUUAAGUUAAUGUUUCUACUUACCUGCUCCGUGGCUAACUAGUUCCCACACACUCUUCAUCGCAACUCCUUUCAGUCAUCAUCAUCUGGACUUUAGACAGCCCGUAGUCGGUGUCAGGAUUAGAAUGAUUAUGAUUAUAUGCCGAUGACGUAAUCAUACUGUUCAGUCUUCAUUCCAA